This 370-nucleotide transfer-messenger RNA is filed under the name Arthrobacter sp. ATA002. It matches the Rfam family "transfer-messenger RNA". Rfam says of the family: Bacterial tmRNA, also known as 10Sa RNA or SsrA, is named for its dual tRNA and mRNA-like properties. Lineage: Bacteria; Bacillati; Actinomycetota; Actinomycetes; Micrococcales; Micrococcaceae. The record is from RNAcentral.
GGGGAUGAUCGGUUUCGACGGUGUUUGCCGCGAAAGGGGAAGCGGGCCGAGGAUGCAGAGUUAUCUCGCUAACGCUCUCUGCAAAAAAUAAGUGCCAAACCUAUGCGCACUGACUUCGCCCUUGCUGCCUAAGCAGUAAGGCACAGUCCGUCAGCCCGGAGUUGCUCUCGCUCCGGCAGCUGGCGUCGUUUAGAGGGCCACUGCUGAACACCUCCGCCGUUGGGGUGUUCAGGACACUUUAACGGCUGGGCCCGGAUCAGCCGCACGUCUGCAGGACGGCUGGGGCCAAGAAAAUCCGACGCAGACUGCGCCCGGAGAAGCCCUUUCAACUCAACAUCGGACGGGGGUUCGAUUCCCCCCAUCUCCACAC